AACGAACGCUGGCGGCAUGCCUAACACAUGCAAGUCGAACGAGACCUUCGGGUCUAGUUGCGCACGGGUGCGUAACGCGUGGGAACCUGCCCUUAGGUUCGGAAUAACUCCCCGAAAGGGGUGCUAAUACCGGAUAAUGUCUUCGGACCAAAGAUUUAUCGCCUUUGGAUGGGCCCGCGUUGGUUUAGCUAGUUGGUAGUGUAAAAGCCUACCAAGGCGACGAUCCAUAGCUGGUCUGAGAGGAUGAUCAGCCACACUGGGACUGAGACACGGCCCAGACUCCUACGGGAGGCAGGAGUGGGGAAUAUUGGACAAUGGGCGAAAGCCUGAUCCAGCAAUGCCGCGUGAGUGAUGAAGGCCUUAGGGUUGUAAAGCUCUUUUACCCGGGAUGAUAAUGACAGUACCGGGAGAAUAAGCUCCGGCUAACUCCGUG
This 433-nucleotide ribosomal RNA is filed under the name uncultured bacterium. RNAcentral's name for it is "partial 16S ribosomal RNA". It matches the Rfam family "Bacterial small subunit ribosomal RNA", at positions 29 to 507 of the family's 1533-position model. The record is from RNAcentral.